RNAcentral lists this transfer RNA (58 nucleotides) under Zea mays. It matches the Rfam family "tRNA", at positions 8 to 63 of the family's 71-position model. Rfam says of the family: Transfer RNA (tRNA) molecules are approximately 80 nucleotides in length. Lineage: Eukaryota; Viridiplantae; Streptophyta; Magnoliopsida; Poales; Poaceae. The record is from Rfam by way of RNAcentral.
UAGCUUAGUUGGUAGAGUGUAAGACUCUUAACCUUGUAGUUGUGGGUUCGAGACCCAC